RNAcentral lists this transfer RNA (89 nucleotides) under Stieleria marina. RNAcentral describes it as "Planctomycetes bacterium K23_9 tRNA-Glu". Lineage: Bacteria; Pseudomonadati; Planctomycetota; Planctomycetia; Pirellulales; Pirellulaceae. The record is from RNAcentral.
UUGUUGCUGGAUCGUGGUUUGGAACUGGCUGUUCUCGCCGGUCAGCUUUUCCAAUAGUUGCCGAAGUUCGGCGUUUUCGGCAGCGGCCC